This 264-nucleotide ribosomal RNA is filed under the name uncultured bacterium. Its description in RNAcentral is "partial 16S ribosomal RNA". It matches the Rfam family "Bacterial small subunit ribosomal RNA", at positions 88 to 354 of the family's 1533-position model. The record is from RNAcentral.
CCGGCGACCGGCGCACGGGUGAGUAACACGUAUGCAACCUGCCCGUCUCAGGGGGAUAAUCGUCGGAAACGGCGUCUAAUACCCCGUAUGAAGCUGGACGGCAUCGUCUGGUUUUGAAAGAAUAUCGGAGACGGACGGGCAUGCGGCGCAUUAGCUAGUUGGCGGGGUAACGGCCCACCAAGGCGACGAUGCGUAGGGGUUCUGAGAGGAAGGUCCCCCACACUGGUACUGAGACACGGACCAGACUCCUACGGAAGGCAGCAG